UUAAUUCUCAACCCCUCUCGAUUCGCUUCGAGAGGGUGCUUGGAUGUUGGGGGCUGCCGGAGACCUGGAUUCGUCCAGGACUCGGGCUCCUCUGAAAUGAAUCGGCUCGCGGUCGACUUUCGACUUUGCGCGACAAGGCCUUUGGCGUGAUAAUGAUCGCCGUUCGCCGAAGCGCAAGACAGAACGGUCCCGUGCCUCUAAUGCGUCGACGCCUUCCGGGGCGUCUUCCUUAUCGAC
RNAcentral lists this unclassified non-coding RNA (237 nucleotides) under uncultured Suillus. RNAcentral describes it as "sequence contains ITS2". Lineage: Eukaryota; Fungi; Basidiomycota; Agaricomycetes; Boletales; Suillaceae. The record is from RNAcentral.